GUGAGGAAUUUUCCGCAAUGGGCGAAAGCCUGACGGGGCAAUGCCGCGUGAAGGAUGAAGGCCUAUGGGUUGUAAACUUCUUUUCUCAGAAAAGAAUUAUGACGGUAUCUGAGGAAUAAGCAUCGGCUAACUCUGUGCCAGCAGCCGCGGUAAGACAGAGGAUGCAAGCGUUAUCCGGAAUGAUUGGGCGUAAAGCGUCUGUAGGUUGUUUAAAAAGUAUUCUGUCAAAGAUUAGGGCUUAACCCUAGAUAGGCAGAAUAAACUUUUAAGCUAGAGUUUGGUAGAGGCAGAGGGAAUUCCCGGUGGAGCGGUGAAAUGCGUAGAUAUCGGGAGGAACACCAAAGGCGAAGGCACUCUGCUGGGCCAAUACUAACACUGAGAGACGAAAGCGAGGGGAGCAAAUGGGAUUAGAUACCCGAGUAGUCC
Molecule: ribosomal RNA, 426 nt
Filed under: uncultured bacterium
Lineage: Bacteria
Description: partial 16S ribosomal RNA
Rfam family: Bacterial small subunit ribosomal RNA
Source: RNAcentral